This 982-nucleotide ribosomal RNA is filed under the name Staphylococcus epidermidis. RNAcentral's name for it is "bacterial SSU rRNA". It matches the Rfam family "Bacterial small subunit ribosomal RNA", at positions 50 to 1020 of the family's 1533-position model. Lineage: Bacteria; Bacillati; Bacillota; Bacilli; Caryophanales; Staphylococcaceae. The record is from RNAcentral.
UAUACAUGCAGUCGAGCGACAGACGAAGAGCUUGCUCCUCUGACGUUAGCGGCCGACGGGUAUAUAAGGCGUGGAUAACCUACCUAUAAGACUGGGAUAAUUCUGGAAACCGGAGCUAAUACCGGAUAAUAUAUUGAACCGGAUGGUUCAAUAGUGAAAGACGGUUUUGCUGUCACUUAUAGAUGGAUCCGCGCCGCAUUAGCUAGUUGGUGAGGUAACGGCUUACCAAGGCAACGAUGCGUAGCCGACCUGAGAGGGUGAUCGGCCACACUGGAACUGAGACACGGUCCAGACUCCUACGGGAGGCAGCAGUAGGGAAUCUUCCGCAAUGGGCGAAAGCCUGACGGAGCAACGCCGCGUGAGUGAUGAAGGUCUUCGGAUCGUAAAACUCUGUUAUUAGGGAAGAACAAAUGUGUAAGUAACUAUGCACGUCUUGACGGUACCUAAUCAGAAAGCCACGGCUAACUACGUGCCAGCAGCCGCGGUAAUACGUAGGUGGCAAGCGUUAUCCGGAAUUAUUGGGCGUAAAGCGCGCGUAGGCGGUUUUUUAAGUCUGAUGUGAAAGCCCACGGCUCAACCGUGGAGGGUCAUUGGAAACUGGAAAACUUGAGUGCAGAAGAGGAAAGUGGAAUUCCAUGUGUAGCGGUGAAAUGCGCAGAGAUAUGGAGGAACACCAGUGGCGAAGGCGACUUUCUGGUCUGUAACUGACGCUGAUGUGCGAAAGCGUGGGGAUCAAACAGGAUUAGAUACCCUGGUAGUCCACGCCGUGAACGAUGAGUGCUAAGUGUUAGGGGGAUUCCUGCCCUUAGUGCUGCAGCUAACGCAUUAAGCACUCCGCCUGGGGAGUACGACCGCAAGGUUGAACUCAAGGAAUUGACGGGGACCCGCACAAGCGGUGGAGCAUGUGGUUUAAAUCGAAGCAACGCGAAGACCUUACCAAAUCUUGACAUCCUCUGACCCUCUAGAGAUAGAGUUUCCCUUC